RNAcentral lists this ribosomal RNA (394 nucleotides) under uncultured bacterium. RNAcentral describes it as "partial 16S ribosomal RNA". It matches the Rfam family "Bacterial small subunit ribosomal RNA", at positions 523 to 918 of the family's 1533-position model. The record is from RNAcentral.
AUACGUAGGGGACGAGCGUUGUCCGGAAUUACUGGGCGUAAAGGGCGCGCAGGCGGAUAUUUAAGUCAGCUGUAAAAGGCAUGAGCUCAACUCAUGUAUGCGGUUGAAACUGGGUAUCUAGAGUGCUGGAGAGGUAGGCGGAAUUCCCGGUGUAGCGGUGAAAUGCGUAGAUAUCGGGAAGAACACCAGUGGCGAAGGCGGUUUGCUGGCUGCAUACGGACGCUGAAGCGCGAAAGCCAGGUGAGCAAACGGGAUUAGAUACCCCGAUAGACCGGGCAGUAAACGAUGUAUGCUGGGUGUGAGACUAGCGAUAGUUUCGUGCCGAAGGUAACGCGAUAAGCAUACCGCCUGGGGAGUUCGGUCGCAAGAUUGAAGCUCAAAUGAAUUGACGGGA